This 508-nucleotide ribosomal RNA is filed under the name uncultured bacterium. RNAcentral describes it as "partial 16S ribosomal RNA". It matches the Rfam family "Bacterial small subunit ribosomal RNA", at positions 28 to 507 of the family's 1533-position model. The record is from RNAcentral.
GACGAACGCUGGCGGCGUGCUUAACACAUGCAAGUCGAACGGGCCUUGUCCCCUUUUUUUUUGGGGGUGGGGUUAGUGGCGAACGGGUGAGUAACACAUGAGUAACCUGCCCCUCACUUCUGGAUAACCGCUUGAAAGGGUGGCUAAUACGGGGUGUUCUGGCCUGCUCGCAUGGGUGGGUUUGGAAAGAUUCGACCGGUUUUGGUUGUUUUGGUGGGGGAUGGGCUCGCGGCCUAUCAGCUUGUUGGUGGGGUGAUGGCCUGCCAAGGCUUUGACGGGUAGCCGGCCUGAGAGGGUGGGCGGUCACACUGGGACUGAGACACGGCCCAGACUCCUACGGGAGGCAGCAGUGGGGAAUAUUGCACAAUGGGCGCAAGCCUGAUGCAGCGACGCCGCGUGAGGGAUGGAGGCCUUCGGGUUGUGAACCUCUUUCGCCAGUGAAGAAGGUCCUGCUCUUUGUGGUGGGGUUGACGGUAGCUGGGUUAAUGAAGCGCCGGCUAACUACGUG